GAAAUGCGAUAAGUAAUGUGAAUUGCAGAAUUCAGUGAAUCAUCGAAUCUUUGAACGCACAUUGCGCCCGCCAGUAUUCUGGCGGGCAUGCCUGUUCGAGCGACAUUUCAACCAUCAAGCCCCCGGCUUGUGUUGGGGACCUGCGGCUGCCCGCAGGCCCUGAAAAACAGUGGCGGGCUCGCUGUCACACCGAGCGUAGUAGCAUACAUUCUCGCUCAGGGCGUGCUGCGGGUUCCGGCCGUUAAACGACCUUCAUAACCCAAGGUUGACCUCGGAUCAGGUAGGAAGACCCGCUGAACUUAAGC
This 305-nucleotide unclassified non-coding RNA is filed under the name plant metagenome. Its description in RNAcentral is "partial contains 5.8S ribosomal RNA, internal transcribed spacer 2, and large subunit ribosomal RNA". The stretch from base 1 to 105 matches the Rfam family "5.8S ribosomal RNA", at positions 50 to 154 of the family's 154-position model. The record is from RNAcentral.